CAGUCGCCACGGUAAUACAGAGGGUGCGAGCGUUAAUCGGAUUUACUGGGCGUAAAGCGUGCGUAGGCGGCUUUUUAAGUCGGAUGUGAAAUCCCUGAGCUUAACUUAGGAAUUGCAUUCGAUACUGGGAAGCUAGAGUAUGGGAGAGGAUGGUAGAAUUCCAGGUGUAGCGGUGAAAUGCGUAGAGAUCUGGAGGAAUACCGAUGGCGAAGGCAGCCAUCUGGCCUAAUACUGACGCUGAGGUACGAAAGCAUGGGGAGCAAACAGGAUUAGAUACCCGGGUAGUCCCUGUCUCUUAUCA
RNAcentral lists this ribosomal RNA (301 nucleotides) under uncultured bacterium. RNAcentral describes it as "partial 16S ribosomal RNA". It matches the Rfam family "Bacterial small subunit ribosomal RNA", at positions 509 to 809 of the family's 1533-position model. The record is from RNAcentral.